UUAAGUUCAGCGGGUAUUCCUACCUGAUCCGAGGUCAACCUAUAGUGCUUUUUAGGGCAUUUUUACGGCAAGGGAGGGCCUAUACCACAGGCGAUGUAAUAGCUACUACGUCUGGGGUGAAGACCUACUCCGCCACUGAAUUUAGGGAGCUGCAAGGACAUCCUAGCGGUCUCCCAACACUAAGCGACAGAGGCUUAAGG
RNAcentral lists this unclassified non-coding RNA (200 nucleotides) under Nemania sp. Its description in RNAcentral is "partial internal transcribed spacer 2". Lineage: Eukaryota; Fungi; Ascomycota; Sordariomycetes; Xylariales; Xylariaceae. The record is from RNAcentral.